Molecule: ribosomal RNA, 914 nt
Filed under: uncultured archaeon
Lineage: Archaea
Description: bacterial SSU rRNA
Rfam family: Archaeal small subunit ribosomal RNA
Source: RNAcentral
UUCCGGUUGAUCCUGCCGGAGGUCACUGCUAUUGGGAUUCGACUAAGCCAUGCGAGUCGAGAGGGUUCGGCCCUCGGCUGACGGCUCAGUAACACGUGGAUAAUCUGUCCUUAGGCGGAGGACAAUCUCGGGAAACUGAGAAUAAUACUCCAUAGAUCUAGGAUGCUGGAAUGCACUUAGAUUGAAAGCUCCGGCGCCUAAGGAUGAGUCUGCGGACUAUCAGGUUGUGGUCAGGGUAAUGACCUGACUAGCCUACGACGGAUACGGGUUGUGAGAGCAAUAACCCGGAGACGAUAUCUGAGACACGAUAUCGGGCCCUACGGGGCGCAGCAGGCGCGAAAACUUCACACUGUGCGAAAGCACGAUGAGGGAAUCCCGAGUGCCAACUCGUAAGAGUUGGCUGUUUCUCUGUCUAAAAAAUAGAGAGAGUAAGAGCUGGGUAAGACGGGUGCCAGCCGCCGCGGUAAUACCUGCAGCUCAAGUGGUGGCCACUAUUAUUGGGCCUAAAACGUCCGUAGCCGGUUUAAUAAAUGCCGGGGUAAAUCGUGUAGCUUAACUAUACGAAUUCCGGGUAGACUGUUAGACUUGAGACCGGGAGAAGCUAGAGGUACUCCUAGGGUAGAGGUGAAAUUCUGUAAUCCUAGGGGGACCACCAGUGGCGAAGGCGUCUAGCUAGAACGGGUCUGACGGUGAGGGACGAAGCCCUGGGGCGCAAACCGGAUUAGAUACCCGGGUAGUCCAGGGUGUAAACGCUGCUCGCUUGAUGUUAGUUGGGCUCCGAGCCCAACUAGUGUCGGAGAGAAGUUGUUAAGCGAGCUGCCUGGGAAGUACGGCCGCAAGACUGAAACUUAAAGGAAUUGGCGGGGGAGCACAGCAACGGGUGGAGCGUGCGGUUUAAUUGGAAUCAACGCCGG